GUGCACUCUGCAGGUUUGUAAUCUUGAUAGGUUGAUUACAAGUGGCAAUUAAUGCAUUCUUUUUUGUUUGCCUUUGUGGAUGAUAAUUUAAGAUGCGAAAAUCUUCUGCCGAAAUUUGAUUAGUACAUGCCCCUUAAGUAGUCUCUAUUUUACAACCCUUAAGAUUCAUCAUCUGAUUUAUAUUAGUUUGAGAAGUUGCGGGUUCUGAGCCCCCCUCUAUUUCCAUUGAACUUUCUUACUUUUUGUUGUCACUUCCAGCUGAUAUGCUUUCAUAAUCUGUAUAGAGAAUUUGCACUUGAAGUUCAGACUCAUAAUGUGUAUGGAGAAUAUUGCAAUUGAAGCUUAGACAGUUUAUGGUUAAACUUUACAGUAAAAUUGAGUAUAACUUGCUGUUGGCCUCAUGUACAGGCACUGACUCGUGCCAGGGUCCCCAUAGUAAAGCUUAUGGAUCCAGUGACUGGAAUUUCC
RNAcentral lists this long non-coding RNA (468 nucleotides) under Gossypium raimondii (Peruvian cotton). RNAcentral's name for it is "long non-coding RNA (GRAI_LNC008508)". Lineage: Eukaryota; Viridiplantae; Streptophyta; Magnoliopsida; Malvales; Malvaceae. The record is from RNAcentral.